RNAcentral lists this ribosomal RNA (428 nucleotides) under uncultured bacterium. Its description in RNAcentral is "bacterial SSU rRNA". It matches the Rfam family "Bacterial small subunit ribosomal RNA", at positions 28 to 457 of the family's 1533-position model. The record is from RNAcentral.
GACGAACGCUGGCGGCGUGCUUAACACAUGCAAGUCGAGCGGUAAGGCCCUUUCGGGGGUACACGAGCGGCGAACGGGUGAGUAACACGGGGGUGACCUGCCCUCAGCUCUGGGAUAAGCCUGGGAAACCGGGUCUAAUACUGGAUAUGACUCCAUGACGCAUGUUGUGGGGUGGAAAGCCUUGUGCGGCUGAGGAUGGGCCCGCGGCCUAUCAGCUUGUUGGUGGGGUGAUGGCCUACCAAGGCGACGACGGGUAGCCGGCCUGAGAGGGCGACCGGCCACACUGGGACUGAGACACGGCCCAGACUCCUACGGGAGGCAGCAGUGGGGAAUCUUGCGCAAUGGGCGAAAGCCUGACGCAGCGACGCCGCGUGUGUGAUGAAGGUCUUCGGAUCGUAAAGCACUUUCGACCGGGACGAAACCCCGUU